GACGAACGCUGGCGGCGCGCCUAACACAUGCAAGUCGAACGAGCGAGAGAGAGCUUGCUUUCUCGAGCGAGUGGCGAACGGGUGAGUAACGCGUGAGGAACCUGCCUCAAAGAGGGGGACAACAGUUGGAAACGACUGCUAAUACCGCAUAAGCCCACGACCCGGCAUCGGGUAGAGGGAAAAGGAGCAAUCCGCUUUGAGAUGGCCUCGCGUCCGAUUAGCUAGUUGGUGAGGUAACGGCCCACCAAGGCGACGAUCGGUAGCCGGACUGAGAGGUUGAACGACCACAUUGGGACUGAGACACGGCCCAGACUCCUACGGGAGGCAGCAGUGGGGAAUAUUGCACAAUGGGGGAAACCCUGAUGCAGCGACGCCGCGUGGAGGAAGAAGGUCUUCGGAUUGUAAACUCCUGUUGUUGAGGAAGAUAAUGACGGUACUCAACAAGGAAGUGACGGCUAACUACGU
RNAcentral lists this ribosomal RNA (465 nucleotides) under uncultured bacterium. RNAcentral's name for it is "partial 16S ribosomal RNA". It matches the Rfam family "Bacterial small subunit ribosomal RNA", at positions 28 to 506 of the family's 1533-position model. The record is from RNAcentral.